CAGCCGCGGUAAUUCCAGCUCCAAUAGCGUAUAUUAAAGUUGCUGCAGUUAAAAAGCUCGUAGUUGAAUUUCGGGANNAAUAUGUCGGUCGUGCCUCGGUACGUACUGGCUUAUUGGUUUCUCCUUUCUGAAGAACCAUGAUGUCAUUUAUUUGGUGUCGUGGGGAAUCAGGACUGUUACUUUGAAAAAAUUAGAGUGUUUAAAGCAGGCUCACGCUUGAAUACAUUAGCAUGGAAUAAUGAAAUAGGACGUUUGAUUCUAUUUUGUUGGUUUCUAGGAUCGACGUAAUGAUUAAUAGGGAUAGUUGGGGGCAUUAGUAUUCAAUUGUCAGAGGUGAAAUUCUUGGAUUUAUUGAAGACUAACUACUGCGAAAGCAUUUGCCAAGGAUGUUUUCAUUAAUCAAGAACGAAAGUUAGGGGAUCGAAGACGAUCAGAUACCGUCGUAGUCUUAACCAUAAACUAUGCCGACUAGGGAUCGGAUGAUGUUAAUUUUUUAAUGACU
RNAcentral lists this ribosomal RNA (502 nucleotides) under Glomus sp. MS Appelhans 234. Its description in RNAcentral is "SSU rRNA". It matches the Rfam family "Eukaryotic small subunit ribosomal RNA", at positions 571 to 1076 of the family's 1831-position model. The record is from RNAcentral. Lineage: Eukaryota; Fungi; Glomeromycota; Glomeromycetes; Glomerales; Glomeraceae.